This 563-nucleotide long non-coding RNA is filed under the name Physcomitrium patens. Its description in RNAcentral is "long non-coding RNA (PPAT_LNC013453)". The record is from RNAcentral. Lineage: Eukaryota; Viridiplantae; Streptophyta; Bryopsida; Funariales; Funariaceae.
GGUUCAUUCAUUAGUUAUUUAGGUUUAAAUCUAUUGUAGAAAUUACUAAGGUUUGGUUAGGAUCUGAUUUAGGAUUAGGAUUUGGUUAGGGUUUGAUUUAGAGUUAGGAUUUAGUUAGGAUUUGAUUUAGAGUUUAGGAUUAGAAUUAAGAUUUGGUUAGGAUUUGAUUUAGGGUUAGGAUUUGGUUAGGAUUUAAUUUAGGAUUGGUUAGGAUUUGAUUAAGUUUUUAUUAGGAUUUGAUUAUAGAUUAGGAUUUGAUUUAGGAUUUAGGAUUUGGUUAGGUUUUGAUUUAGGAUUAGUAUUUGGUUUAGGAUUUAGGAUUUUGUUUAGGAUUUAAGGUUUGAUUAGGAUUUGAUAGGAUUUGAUUUAAGAUUUAGGAUUUUAUUUGAAUUUAUUUAGAAAUUAAGAUUUAGUUAGUUUUUGGCCUAAAGUUGAAUGAAGUCCAAUAAGAUUUCAACUAGGAUUAAAUUAAGAUUGAAUUGAAAUGUAUUUGAGAUAUGUUUGUAAUCAUUCUAAUAUUUUUUUAAGAUUUCUUAUUGUUUCUUUGGAAUGCCUUUGAGGUU